GACGAACGCUGGCGGCGUGCUUAACACAUGCAAGUCGAACGGAAAGGCCCUGCUUUUGCGGGGUGCUCGAGUGGCGAACGGGUGAGUAACACGUGAGUAACCUGCCCUUGACUUUGGGAUAACUUCAGGAAACUGGGGCUAAUACCGGAUAGGAGCUCCUGCUGCAUGGUGGGGGUUGGAAAGUUUCGGCGGUUGGGGAUGGACUCGCGGCUUAUCAGCUUGUUGGUGGGGUAGUGGCUUACCAAGGCUUUGACGGGUAGCCGGCCUGAGAGGGUGACCGGCCACAUUGGGCCUGCGAUACGGCCCAGACUCCUACGGGAGGCAGCAGUGGGGAAUAUUGCACAAUGGGCGGAAGCCUGAUGCAGCAACGCCGCGUGCGGGAUGACGGCCUUCGGGUUGUAAACCGCUUUCGCCUGUGACGAAGCGUGAGUGACGGUAAUGGGUAAAGAAGCACCGGCUAACUACGUG
Molecule: ribosomal RNA, 468 nt
Filed under: uncultured bacterium
Lineage: Bacteria
Description: partial 16S ribosomal RNA
Rfam family: Bacterial small subunit ribosomal RNA
Source: RNAcentral